AAAGGGAGACCUAAUUCGGGUAGAAGACGAAAAAAUAGUAGUCGAAACCAAGAAUCAAUCCCAAAAGGUCGGAACGAGGUAUGUGGCUUUCAAACUAGGUUCUGGGUUCACAAAAGACCUGAAUCAGGAACAAGGGCUAUUAGCUCAGGUGGUUAGAGCGCACCCCUGAUAAGGGUGAGGUCCCUGGUUCGAGUCCAGGAUGGCCCACCUGCACAGGUGGCAAAAACAAGAGAAACGAGGAAUCAGCACCUUAUCUUACUUACAUAGUAAGAGAGAAUGCUGGCUCUGAGUAAAGAGUCCAGAAGAACCUUGAAAACUGCAUAGAGCUAGGUGAAAAAGCCAAAAAAGAAGACCGCAAG
This 359-nucleotide transfer RNA is filed under the name uncultured Microcystis sp. Its description in RNAcentral is "partial 16S-23S ribosomal RNA intergenic spacer". The stretch from base 134 to 207 matches the Rfam family "tRNA". Lineage: Bacteria; Bacillati; Cyanobacteriota; Cyanophyceae; Chroococcales; Microcystaceae. The record is from RNAcentral.